CCUACGGGAGGCUGCAGUGGGGGAUAUUGGACAAUGGGGGGAACCCUGAUCCAGCGACGCCGCGUGAGUGAAGAAGUAUUUCGGUAUGUAAAGCUCUAUCAGCAGGGAAGAAAAGAAUGACGGUAGCUGAAGAAGAAGCCCCGACUAACGACGUGCCAGCAGCCGCGGUAAUACGUAGGGGGCAAGCGUUAUCCGGAUUUACUGGGUGUAAAGGGAGCGCAGACGGCAAUGCAAGCAUGGAGUGAAAGGCGGGGGCCCAACCCCCGGACUGCUCUGGGAACUGUAUAGCUAGAGUGCAGGGGAGGCAAGUGGAAUUCCUAGUGUAGCGGUGAAAUGCGUAGAUAUUAGGAGGAACACCAGUGGCGAAGGCGGCUUGCUGGACUGUAACUGACGUUGAGGCUCGAAAGCGUGGGGAGCAAACAGGAUUAGAUACCCGAGUAGUC
This 443-nucleotide ribosomal RNA is filed under the name uncultured bacterium. RNAcentral describes it as "partial 16S ribosomal RNA". It matches the Rfam family "Bacterial small subunit ribosomal RNA", at positions 338 to 795 of the family's 1533-position model. The record is from RNAcentral.